GUUUAGUGUUUGGCCACCCUGUUACAAAGUUAAAAUCGUCGCCAAAAAAUCCAUCCUUCAUCAGAAUGCUUUGCUUGUUCUAGCAGUCAUACACAUGUUGAGCAAUGUGAAGUAAGUCUACGGUUCCUGUUCCAUGCGCGUUCACCAAUAAUGGCGGCACCCAAUACGUAUCCGGCAUGCCCACGUUUCCCUACACAUUUCAAAAUCAAAUGUGUGGCACCUACGGCCGUUAUCCAACCAAAUGACAUUGGGUUCUAUCUAGGAUGAAUACUACUGGCAAGUUCUUCGUCAACUAGAUGUGCCUUCUCCAGUGUUUAAAAAAUGGUAAUAAUUCAAUUUACAUGAAUUUAAAUUUUUAUAUUGUUUCAGAGUUGCUUAUUAGUGAUAUUCAAAUGUUCUUAAAUGCUGAUAGUUACUAGUGAUUGUCUUGAAGCAUUGCUUGUCAGAAAUUAUUUUCUGGAAAUAUAUUGAUAUCAAGAUA
Daphnia pulicaria is the source of this 481-nucleotide long non-coding RNA. RefSeq lists it as uncharacterized. The transcript has 3 exons. The record is from RefSeq and is a predicted model, not a curated record. Lineage: Eukaryota; Metazoa; Arthropoda; Branchiopoda; Diplostraca; Daphniidae.